GGGUUUAGCCUGGGAGGGCAUGGCAGCGAGGCUGAGGAGCAUCAUCAAAGCUGACCACAGGCACCAAGCAGGCAUCAACAGGAUCCAGGAAACGCCGAGACACAAAAAAAUCUUGGAAAUAAUCCAUGCGCUGGUGGGAAACCAGCAGAGCAACUCCUGGAUAAUCCUUUAGCUUCACCAGCUGACUGCUUCAUUUACACCGGUGACGGUGACGCCUUCGCCAGGAAGGUAGCGUGGGAACCCGGAACGGGUAACCCGGGAUUGCCGAUACAACUGGGGGCAGGGGUUGCUGCCCACUAGCUCCAAACGACACAAUAUUUUGGACCACAGGUUGGAGGUCCAGUAGUGUCUGGCGAUCAUACCUCAGCAGAGACUUUGUUUCGUGGAUGACACCAGUUAGAAAUAAUAUAAGCAGGAACAAACUUGGAAAUGACAGACGAGCAGCCACACACACCGGCGCCAUCUUGGUCAACAACAAAAGUUCAUCUCAGUACUUUGUUAUAUAGCCUUUGUUGGCAAUGACAGAGGUCAGACGUUUUCUGUAAGUCUUGUAUUUCGGCCCAUUGUUCCAUGCAGAUCUCCUCUAGAGCAGUGAUGUUUUAGGGCUGUCGAUUGGCAACACUUUCAGCUCCCUCCAAAGAUUUUCUGUGGGAUUGGGAUCUGGGGACUGGCUGGGCCACUCCAGGACCUUGAAAUGCUUCUUACAAAGCCACUCCUUCAUCACCUGGGUGCUGUGUUUGGGGUCAUUGUCAUGCUGAAAGACCCAGCCAGUCUUUCAGCAUGACCCAGCAUCUUCAAUGCCUUUGCUCAUGAAAGGAGGUUGUCACUCAAAUUCUCAUGAUACAUGGCCCCAUUCAUUCUUUCCUUUACAGGACUCCCUGCAGAAACAGAAACAGCCCCAAAGCAUGAUGUUUCCUCCCCCAUGCCUCACAGUAGGUAUGCUGUUCUUUGGAUGCAACUCAGCACAUGACAAGUAGAGUUUGUAAUAGAAAGUUCUAUUUUGGUUUCAUCUGACCAAAUGACAUCCUCCCAAUGCUCUUCUGGAUCAUCCAAAUGCUCUCUAGCAAACUUCAGAUGGGGCUGGACAUGGACUGGCUUAAGCAGGGGGACACGUCUGGCACUGCAGGAUUUGAGUGUGUUACUGAUGGUGACCUUUGCUACUUUGGUCCCAGCUGUCUGCAGGUCAUUCACAAGGUCCCACCUGUGUGGUUCUUGUGAUCAUUUUGACCCCACGGGGUGAGAUCUUGCGUGGAGCCCCAGAUCAAGGGGGAUUGUCAGUGGUCUUGUAUGUCUUCCAUUUUCUAAUGAUUGAUCUCUAAGUUGAUUUCUUCACACCAAGCUGCUUACCUAAUGCAGAUGCAGUCUUCCCUGCCUGGUGCAGGUCUACAAUUUUGUUUCUGGUGUCCUUUGACAGCUCUUUGGUCUUCUUGGCCAUAGUGGAGUUUGGAGUGUGACUGUUUAUGGUUGUGGACAGGUGUCUUUUAUACUGAUAAUGAGUUCAAACAGGUGCCAUUAAUACAGGUAACGAGUGGAGGACAGAGGAGCCUCUUACAGAAGAAGUUACAGGUCUGUGAGAGCCGGAAAUCUUGCUUGUUUGUAGGUGACCAAAUACUUAUUUUCCAACAUAAUUUGCAAAUAAAUUCUUUUUAAAUCAGACAAUUCUGAAUUUUUUUUCUCAUUUUGUCUCUCAUAGUUGAGGUAUACCUAUGAUGAAAAUUACAGGCCUCUCUCAUAUUUUUAAGUGGGAGAACUUGCACAAUUGGUGGCUGACUAAAUACUUUUUUGCCCCACUGUAUAAGUGCAAUUUCAACAAUAUAUCUUUUCUAUAUUAUAUUAUAUGCUACUGUAGUGAAUCAAAGAAACCCUAACCCCUAACCCAAAGUUGAACUUACAUGGAAUCGUAACAAUAAAAAAGCACCUCAACUUCUGCGAUGACUGGUUUCGCAGGACUGCCAACAGAAAUGAAAUAGCCUAUAAGAAAAUGCACACUGCCUAUUUUGGCAAACUUCAAAAGAACAAUGAUCAUUUGUCAUGGUCUGUGGUCCUGUGUCUGUGGAGUUUGUGUGUGAUGCUCGGGUAGCCACACCCCCGGGCUGGGCCAUCACCGGCACACCUGCUUUCCAUCGGGGUGAUUACCUGGAGGACUACUUAACCCCGCGCUGACGGAUGCUCCAUGCCAGUCUGUUUAUCACCUCUCUGUGAUUUCGAUCCGGCGUCCAGUGUCUGCCACCUGCCUGUCCUCCUGCUCGAUUGGAUCACCCGGUGCAUCAUCUGGCCUCGUCACUAACUCCACGGAUUCCCUUCUCACGGACUUUCCCACUUCCCUCCCGAGCCCCACGGUCCCACUCCGAUUCCUCCCACGGUCCCGAUUCCGGCUUCCCCGCGUCAUUUGUUUCCCCGGGUUUUUCAGUUCCUUGUUUGCUCCUCUGGUUUUCCCGGGUCGCCUUUUGUUAUUUAUAAUAAAGUGUCUUUUCCU
This is a long non-coding RNA of Oreochromis niloticus (Nile tilapia), 2476 nucleotides long. RefSeq lists it as uncharacterized. The transcript is spliced from 3 exons. Lineage: Eukaryota; Metazoa; Chordata; Actinopteri; Cichliformes; Cichlidae. The record is from RefSeq and is a predicted model, not a curated record.